Molecule: ribosomal RNA, 481 nt
Filed under: uncultured bacterium
Lineage: Bacteria
Description: partial 16S ribosomal RNA
Rfam family: Bacterial small subunit ribosomal RNA
Source: RNAcentral
GAUGAACGCUGGCGGCGUGCUUAACACAUGCAAGUCGAACGAAGCAUUUAAGACAGAUUACUUCGGUUUGAAGUCUUUUAUGACUGAGUGGCGGACGGGUGAGUAACGCGUGGGUAACCUGCCUCAUACAGGGGGAUAGCAGCUGGAAACGGCUGGUAAUACCGCAUAAGCGCACAGUACCACAUGGUACAGUGUGAAAAACUCCGGUGGUAUGAGAUGGACCCGCGUCUGAUUAGCUUGUUGGCGGGGUAACGGCCCACCAAGGCGACGAUCAGUAGCCGAGCUGAGAGGGUGACCGGCCACAUUGGGACUGAGACACGGCCCAGACUCCUACGGGAGGCAGCAGUAGGGAAUAUUGCACAAUGGAGGAAACUCUGAUGCAGCGGCGCCGCGUGAGUGAAGAAGUAGUUCGCUAUGUAAAGCUCUAUCAGCAGGGAAGAUAGUGACGGUACCUGACUAAGAAGCUCCGGCUAAAUACGUG